This 378-nucleotide long non-coding RNA is filed under the name Brassica rapa (field mustard). RNAcentral describes it as "long non-coding RNA (BRAP_LNC004865)". Lineage: Eukaryota; Viridiplantae; Streptophyta; Magnoliopsida; Brassicales; Brassicaceae. The record is from RNAcentral.
GAAAUUAUUUAUUUUUCUCUCCCCUUUUACCGAGAGAACGAAUAGGUGAUUUCCGGCGAAGAAAAAAACGGCAAGGCGUAACGACGUUAAAAGCAUGUCUCGGCGGCGGAGUCUGCGGAAAAAAAAGAUAGCUGAUGGUAAGUUAACUUCAGUUUUGCUUUGAUGGCUAGAUUGGUUAAUUUUGAUGUUGUUUUCUUUGAGCCUGAUUCUCUUUGUUUCAUAGAAACAGUGGCGGUAAAGGGUGUAAAGGGAAGUCUCCCAGAAAGGCUUUUUGCAAUGGAUCGGUACCCAUGCGAGAGGAUCAAUAUGUACUCAACGAUUGAUAAUCUACUGUGCGUUAGAGACGCACUAAACGGCACGGAGGAGAUGGCCCUAUUG